AAUCCAAGGGUUUACUCCCUUCUCUGCACAUAAUCUUCUCAACUCUGCAAUCUUCUUCACUUGGCUUUCAAUAAAGCUCUGCCCACCAAACCCAGGAUUCACCGACAUAAUCAAUACUAGAUCAACAACAUCAAGUACAUAAUCUAUCGCAGUGAGAGGGGUUGCAGGAUUCAAAACAACUCCAGCCUUUGCUCCAAGACUUUUGAUCUGAUUGACUGUUCGGUGUAGAUGGAUGGUUGACGAUUGCUCACAGUGAACGCUAACAAUAUCAGCACCUGCCUUGAUAAAAUCUGGAACUCGUUGCUCAGGUUCCACAAUCAUCAGAUGCACAUCCAACGGAAGAUCAGUGACUGGCCGCAGAGCAUCAACAACCAAAGGUCCGAUUGUGAUAUUUGGCACAAAACGUCCAUCCAUGACAUCAACAUGAAUCCAGUCACAUCCUGCCACCUCCACAGCUUUUACCUGCUCGCCAAGCUUGGAAAAGUUUGCAGAAAGAAUGGAA
This 502-nucleotide unclassified non-coding RNA is filed under the name Hevea brasiliensis (rubber tree). Lineage: Eukaryota; Viridiplantae; Streptophyta; Magnoliopsida; Malpighiales; Euphorbiaceae. The record is from RNAcentral.